Long non-coding RNA from Melitaea cinxia (Glanville fritillary), 93 nucleotides. RefSeq lists it as uncharacterized. The transcript is spliced from 2 exons. The record is from RefSeq and is a predicted model, not a curated record. NCBI's taxonomy places the organism in Eukaryota, Metazoa, Arthropoda, Insecta, Lepidoptera, Nymphalidae.
UAUCGAUACUGUACUCAUGAGUAAUAUCGAAAAAAAAUAUAGUACUCAUAAAAGUAUCGAAACAAAAGUAUCGAUACUUCUAGGUAUCGAGUA